This 167-nucleotide RNase P RNA is filed under the name Desulfuromonadales bacterium. RNAcentral describes it as "partial RNase P RNA component class A". It matches the Rfam family "Bacterial RNase P class A", at positions 1 to 151 of the family's 367-position model. From Rfam's summary of the family: Ribonuclease P (RNase P) is a ubiquitous endoribonuclease, found in archaea, bacteria and eukarya as well as chloroplasts and mitochondria. The record is from RNAcentral. Lineage: Bacteria; Pseudomonadati; Thermodesulfobacteriota; Desulfuromonadia; Desulfuromonadales.
GGAGACAACCAGGCGAUCGCCGGUCCACUGUCGCUUCGGUUAUGGUGGGCGGGAGGAAAGUCCGGGCUCCACAGGGCAGGAUGGUCCUUAACGGGGACCGGGGGCGACCCCAGGGAAAGUGCCACAGAAAGCAAACCGUCCACUUAAAGCUCUAUGAAGGUGGAUAA